GUGGGGAAUAUUGGACAAUGGGCGAAAGCCUGAUCCAGCAAUGCCGCGUGAGUGAUGAAGGCCUUAGGGUUGUAAAGCUCUUUUACCCGGGAAGAUAAUGACUGUACCGGGAGAAUAAGCCCCGGCUAACUCCGUGCCAGCAGCCGCGGUAAUACGGAGGGGGCUAGCGUUGUUCGGAAUUACUGGGCGUAAAGCGCACGUAGGCGGUUUUGUAAGUUAGAGGUGAAAGCCUGGGGCUCAACCCCAGAAUUGCCUUUAAGACUGCAUCACUUGAACGUCGGAGAGGUGAGUGGAAUUCCGAGUGUAGAGGUGAAAUUCGUAGAUAUUCGGAAGAACACCAGUGGCGAAGGCGGCUCACUGGACGACUGUUGACGCUGAGGUGCGAAAGCGUGGGGAGCAAACAGGAUUAGAAACCCGAGUAGUCC
Molecule: ribosomal RNA, 425 nt
Filed under: uncultured bacterium
Lineage: Bacteria
Description: partial 16S ribosomal RNA
Rfam family: Bacterial small subunit ribosomal RNA
Source: RNAcentral